Molecule: RNA transcript, 267 nt
Organism: Arabidopsis thaliana (thale cress)
Lineage: Eukaryota; Viridiplantae; Streptophyta; Magnoliopsida; Brassicales; Brassicaceae
Exons: 1
Source: RefSeq
AUUUAAGAGAAAUCAACAAGCGAUAUCACGAGGAUGAAGAAGGAAGGUACAUAUUUUAUUUAGUUUUCCUCAAAGGUUAUAUAUUUAGUGAAUGAGUCCUCUGUUUCUUCUACUUUGAUCUUUGUUACAGGAGAUUCCGUGGAAACCAGUAUACCUAGAUUCUUCAGAAUUUUCAAGAGAAAAUCUUGCCAAAAACAGAUUGUAGAAAGAAAAAGCUAAGACAAAUAUACAGUUUUCGACCUUUCUUUGAUUUUUACUCUUUCAAGG